RNAcentral lists this transfer RNA (73 nucleotides) under Streptomyces sp. CBMA123. RNAcentral describes it as "tRNA-Leu". It matches the Rfam family "tRNA". From Rfam's summary of the family: Transfer RNA (tRNA) molecules are approximately 80 nucleotides in length. Their secondary structure includes four short double-helical elements and three loops (D, anti-codon, and T loops). RNAcentral also lists the same sequence under 6 other names. The record is from RNAcentral. Lineage: Bacteria; Bacillati; Actinomycetota; Actinomycetes; Kitasatosporales; Streptomycetaceae.
GCGCCCGUACUCCAGCGGUAGAGAGGAGCGGUUUAGGUCCGCUUUGUCGUGGGUUCGAAUCCCUCCGGGCGUA